AUACGUAGAGGGCGAGCGUUGUCCGGAAUGAUUGGGCGUAAAGGGCGCGUAGGCGGCGCGGUAAGUCUGGAGUGAAAGUCCUGCUUUCAAGGUGGGAAUUGCUUUGGAUACUGCCGCGCUUGAGUGCAGGAGAGGUUAUCGGAAUUCCCGGUGUAGCGGUGAAAUGCGUAGAGAUCGGGAGGAACACCAGUGGCGAAGGCGGGUAACUGGACUGCAACUGACGCUGAGGCGCGAAAGUGUGGGGAGCAAACAGGAUUAGAUACCCUGGUAGUCCACACGGUAAACGAUGAAUGCUAGGUGUAAGAGGUAUCGACCCCUUUUGUGCCGGAGUCAACACAAUAAGCAUUCCGCCUGGGGAGUACGGCCGCAAGGUUGAAACUCAAAGGAAUUGACGGGG
This 397-nucleotide ribosomal RNA is filed under the name uncultured bacterium. RNAcentral describes it as "partial 16S ribosomal RNA". It matches the Rfam family "Bacterial small subunit ribosomal RNA", at positions 523 to 918 of the family's 1533-position model. The record is from RNAcentral.